RNAcentral lists this ribosomal RNA (585 nucleotides) under uncultured bacterium. RNAcentral's name for it is "bacterial SSU rRNA". It matches the Rfam family "Bacterial small subunit ribosomal RNA", at positions 338 to 916 of the family's 1533-position model. The record is from RNAcentral.
CCUACGGGAGGCAGCAGUGGGGAAUUUUGGACAAUGGGGGCAACCCUGAUCCAGCCAUGCCGCGUGCGGGAAGAAGGCCUUCGGGUUGUAAACCGCUUUUAGUCGGGAAGAAAAGGUGAUCCCUAAUAAGGAUGACUCUUGACGGUACCGGCGGAAUAAGCACCGGCUAACUACGUGCCAGCAGCCGCGGUAAUACGUAGGGUGCGAGCGUUAAUCGGAAUUACUGGGCGUAAAGCGUGCGCAGGCGGUUGAUUAAGUCUGAUGUGAAAGCCCCGGGCUCAACCUGGGAAUGGCAUUGGAAACUGGUCGGCUUGAGUAUGGCAGAGGGGGGUGGAAUUCCGCGUGUAGCAGUGAAAUGCGUAGAGAUGCGGAGGAACACCGAUGGCGAAGGCAGCCCCCUGGGCCAAUACUGACGCUCAGGCACGAAAGCGUGGGGAGCAAACAGGAUUAGAUACCCUGGUAGUCCACGCCCUAAACGAUGCUCACUAGGUGUUGGGGAAGCGAUUCCUUGGUACCGUAGCUAACGCGUGAAGUGAGCCGCCUGGGGAGUACGGCCGCAAGGUUAAAACUCAAAGGAAUUGACGG